AGAGUUUGAUCCUGGCUCAGGAUGAACGCUAGCUACAGGCUUAACACAUGCAAGUCGAGGGGAAACGACAUCGAAAGCUUGCUUUUGAUGGGCGUCGACCGGCGCACGGGUGAGUAACGCGUAUCCAACCUGCCCACCACUUGGGGAUAACCUUGCGAAAGUAAGACUAAUACCCAAUGACGUCUCUAGAAGACAUCUGAAAGAGAUUAAAAGAUUUAUCGGUGAUGGAUGGGGAUGCGUCUGAUUAGCUUGUUGCGGGGUAACGGCCACCAAGGCGACGAUCAGUGGGGGUUCUGAGAGGAAGGUCCCCCACAUCGGAACUGAGACACGGGUCCAAACUCCUACGGGAGGCCA
RNAcentral lists this ribosomal RNA (354 nucleotides) under uncultured bacterium. Its description in RNAcentral is "bacterial SSU rRNA". It matches the Rfam family "Bacterial small subunit ribosomal RNA", at positions 8 to 351 of the family's 1533-position model. The record is from RNAcentral.